Molecule: ribosomal RNA, 373 nt
Filed under: uncultured organism
Description: partial 16S ribosomal RNA
Rfam family: Bacterial small subunit ribosomal RNA
Source: RNAcentral
GUAGGUGGCAAGCGUUGUCCGGAAUUAUUGGGCGUAAAGCGCGCGCAGGCGGUUCUUUAAGUCUGAUGUGAAAGCCCACGGCUCAACCGUGGAGAGUCAUUGGAAACUGGAGAACUUGAGUACAGAAGAGGAAAGCGGAAUUCCACGUGUAGCGGUGAAAUGCGUAGAGAUGUGGAGGAACACCAGUGGCGAAGGCGGCUUUCUGGUCUGUAACUGACGCUGAGGCGCGAAAGCGUGGGGAGCAAACAGGAUUAGAUACCCUGGUAGUCCACGCCGUAAACGAUGAGUGCUAAGUGUUAGGGGGGUUUCCGCCCCCCUUAGUGCUGCAGCCAACGCAUUAAGCACUCCGCCUGGGAGUACGGCCGCAAGGCUG